Molecule: ribosomal RNA, 254 nt
Filed under: uncultured bacterium
Lineage: Bacteria
Description: partial 16S ribosomal RNA
Rfam family: Bacterial small subunit ribosomal RNA
Source: RNAcentral
UACGAAGGGGGCUAGCGUUGUUCGGAAUUACUGGGCGUAAAGCGCGCGUAGGCGGUUUUGCAAGCCAGAGGUGAAAUGCCUGAGCUCAACUCAGGAAUGGCCUUUGGGACUGCGAGGCUUUGAGGACUGGAGAGGUGAGUGGAAUUCCGCGUGUAGCAGUGAAAUGCGUAGAUAUGCGGAGGAACACCGAUGGCGAAGGCAAUCCCCUGGGCCUGCACUGACGCUCAUGCACGAAAGCGUGGGGAGCAAACAGG